GUUAUCCGGAUUUACUGGGCGUAAAGGGUGCGUAGGCGGUCUUUCAAGUCAGGAGUGAAAGGCUACGGCUCAACCGUAGUAAGCUCUUGAAACUGGGAGACUUGAGUGCAGGAGAGGAGAGUGGAAUGCCUAGUGUAGCGGUGAAAUGCGUAGAUAUUAGGAGGAACACCAGUUGCGAAGGCGGCUCUCUGGACUGUAACUGACGCUG
RNAcentral lists this ribosomal RNA (208 nucleotides) under Clostridioides difficile. RNAcentral's name for it is "partial 16S ribosomal RNA". It matches the Rfam family "Bacterial small subunit ribosomal RNA", at positions 540 to 748 of the family's 1533-position model. The record is from RNAcentral. Lineage: Bacteria; Bacillati; Bacillota; Clostridia; Peptostreptococcales; Peptostreptococcaceae.